RNAcentral lists this ribosomal RNA (435 nucleotides) under uncultured bacterium. Its description in RNAcentral is "partial 16S ribosomal RNA". It matches the Rfam family "Bacterial small subunit ribosomal RNA", at positions 29 to 507 of the family's 1533-position model. The record is from RNAcentral.
AGCGAACGCUGGCGGCAGGCUUAACACAUGCAAGUCGAGCGGGCACUUUCGGGUGUCAGCGGCGGACGGGUGCGUAACGCGUGGGAACGUGCCCUCUGGUUCGGAAUAACUCAGGGAAACUUGAGCUAAUACCGGAUACGCCCUUUUGGGGAAGGGCUUGCUGCCGGAGGAUCGGCCCGCGUCUGAUUAGCUAGUUGGUGAGGUAACGGCUCACCAAGGCGACGAUCAGUAGCUGGUCUGAGAGGAUGAUCAGCCACACUGGGACUGAGACACGGCCCAGACUCCUACGGGAGGCAGCAGUGGGGAAUAUUGGACAAUGGGCGCAAGCCUGAUCCAGCCAUGCCGCGUGAGUGAUGAAGGCCUUAGGGUUGUAAAGCUCUUUUAUCCGGGACGAUAAUGACGGUACCGGAGGAAUAAGCCCCGGCUAACUUCGUG